Molecule: ribosomal RNA, 408 nt
Filed under: uncultured bacterium
Lineage: Bacteria
Description: partial 16S ribosomal RNA
Rfam family: Bacterial small subunit ribosomal RNA
Source: RNAcentral
GACGAACGCUGGCGGCGUGCUUAACACAUGCAAGUCGCAAGGCGUGGCGAACGGUUGCGUAACACGGAGAUGACCUGCCCUGCCCUUCGGGAGAAGGCUGGGAACAUGGAUCGACUACCGGAUAGUGUUGGAUGUGCCCGCGGCCUAUCAGCUUGUGGGUGGGGUAAUGGCGUACCAAGGCGGCGACGGGUAGCCGGCCUGAGAGGGUGGACGGCCACAUUGGGACUGCGACACGGCCCAGACUCCGACGGGAGGCAGCAGUGUGGAAUAUUGCACAAUGGGCGGAAGCCUGAUGCAGCGACGCCGAGUGUGGGAUGACGGCCGUCGGGUUGUAAACUCCUUUCACCAUCGACGCGGUAGAUUGAGAAGAAGCACCGGCUAACGACGUGCCAGCAGCCGCGGUAAUUC